GACGAACGCUGGCGGCGUGCCUAAUACAUGCAAGUCGAACGCAGUGGGGACGGGUGAGUAACACGUGGGUAACCUCCCAUCAGAGGGGAUAACACUCGGAAACAGGUGCUAAACCGAUAUUGACGGAUGGACCCGCGGUGCAUUAGCUAGUAGGUGAGGUAACGGCUCACCAAGGCUACGAUGCAUAGCCGACCUGAGAGGGGGAUCGGCCACACUGGGACGGAGGCACGGCCCAGACUCCAGCGGGAGGCAGGAGUAGGAAAUCUGCGGCAAUGGACGAAAGUCUUACCGAGCAACGCCGCGUGAGUGAAGAAGGUUUUCGGAUCGUAGAGCUCUGUGGUUAGAGAAGCGGUAUCUAGCCAGAAAGCCACGGCUAACUACGUGCCAGCAGCCGCGGUAAUAC
RNAcentral lists this ribosomal RNA (403 nucleotides) under uncultured bacterium. RNAcentral describes it as "partial 16S ribosomal RNA". It matches the Rfam family "Bacterial small subunit ribosomal RNA", at positions 28 to 526 of the family's 1533-position model. The record is from RNAcentral.